UGUCGUCAGCUCGUGUUGUGAAAUGUUGGGUUAAGUCCCGCAACGAGCGCAACCCUUAUCCUUUGUUGCCAGCGGUCCGGCCGGGAACUCAAAGGAGACUGCCAGUGAUAAACUGGAGGAAGGUGGGGAUGACGUCAAGUCAUCAUGGCCCUUACGACCAGGGCUACACACGUGCUACAAUGGCGCAUACAAAGAGAAGCGACCUCGCGAGAGCAAGCGGACCUCAUAAAGUGCGUCGUAGUCCGGAUUGGAGUCUGCAACUCGACUCCAUGAAGUCGGAAUCGCUAGUAAUCGUGGAUCAGAAUGCCACGGUGAAUACGUUCCCGGGCCUUGUACACACCGCCCGUCACACCAUGGGAG
RNAcentral lists this ribosomal RNA (360 nucleotides) under Escherichia coli. Its description in RNAcentral is "bacterial SSU rRNA". It matches the Rfam family "Bacterial small subunit ribosomal RNA", at positions 1050 to 1410 of the family's 1533-position model. Lineage: Bacteria; Pseudomonadati; Pseudomonadota; Gammaproteobacteria; Enterobacterales; Enterobacteriaceae. The record is from RNAcentral.